GGCUGCAGAGAAGUCUGGGAGAAACGUCCCUUGGUUCAUCUCAGUCUCUGGGCACCUGUCCACUCCCACCUGUGCCUUCCCUGGUCCYGGUUUUCCCAGCUGUGUUUCACAGGGCUAUGGGAUGUAGGCAGGGCUCUAAGCUCCAGCCCUGUCCUGUUUGGUUGAUCCCAUGCCUUGGACCCUCCUGCUCACCCCAGACCCUGCUGGUAUGACCUAAAUCCUCGCUGAGGCUCCGAGGGCUUGGUGUCCCUCUGCUCCCCGGUCUUCCYGGAACUCCCUUGCCCAACAUCCUGUGUGGUAAUCACGUCUGUUGGCCCCACGUAGCUGGGCCAUCGUUGCCAGGUUCCUCGGCUGGUUCCUGAUACUCCUCUAAGGAAACCGUCCUGAGAGAAAAAGCUGCUGUAAGUUUUCUCGGUUCAGAAUCCCCUCUCCAGGGUGGCCCAGUGUUCUUCAGCAGAGRUGACCAGGCAGACUCUGGCCCUGGGGUGGCCAGGGGGUGGGURUGAAGAAGGGACAGGAGUAAGAUGCUCCAAGAGUGGGAAUAGGGCACCCAUGUCCAGGAGGGGACCCUGGGCUGACCAGUGARGCAGCAGCCCUGCCUUAAGGGGCCCCAGGUCACUGCUCUCUGUUGGGAGAAAGGCCCACGGAGGGGGCCAUCAGGGGCACUGACAGAGCCGUAGGGCUGGGAGGAAAGCASGCUCAAGGUUGGACUGGAGGUUGGACUGGAGGUUGGGGCAGGGUGAGGGAGGGAUGGAGGACAGAAAUCACCAUGCCAUGCCGGGGUGCUCAAGAGGCAGUGACCCUGAAAGCUAGAGGAGAAAGGAAAAGAUCCGCCACCUGUGGAUACCGACCCCGGGCGGACCCAGCAGGUCACCCUACGGGUGGGGGAAAGCGAGGCCUGGGAGGCCAGGUAAGCGGUCCCGGUCUCAGAGGAGGAGCCAGCAACCCGCCGGUCUCCUCCAGGACACCAUCAGCUGCUGUGCAYCUCCUGGAGACGCGGCCAGCAUCCCUACGCUGGACAGCAGAGCCCGGACGACAGGAGGCUGAGGAUGGGAGGGAGGGA
RNAcentral lists this long non-coding RNA (1063 nucleotides) under Urocitellus parryii (Arctic ground squirrel). Its description in RNAcentral is "lncRNA (ENSUPAG00010001739.1)". Lineage: Eukaryota; Metazoa; Chordata; Mammalia; Rodentia; Sciuridae. The record is from RNAcentral.